GUGUGGGCAGAUCCGCCCAAGGGAGUGGGCUGGGUUGUCCCGCAUGACCCCAUCAGUUCCGACUGUUUCGGCAACAACCAGGGCGUCAGCCAUGGCGGACCGUACUUUCAGCC
This 113-nucleotide unclassified non-coding RNA is filed under the name uncultured fungus. RNAcentral's name for it is "sequence contains ITS1". Lineage: Eukaryota; Fungi. The record is from RNAcentral.